AACGAACGCUGGCGGCGUGCUUAACACAUGCAAGUCGAGCGGUAAGGCCCUUUCGGGGGUACGACGAGCGGCGAACGGGUGAGUAACACGUGGGUGACCUGCCCUCAGCUCUGGGAUAAGCCUGGGAAACCGGGUCUAAUACCGGAUAUGACUCCAUGACGCAUGUUGUGGGGUGGAAAGCCUUGUGCGGCUGAGGAUGGGCCCGCGGCCUAUCAGCUUGUUGGU
This 225-nucleotide ribosomal RNA is filed under the name uncultured bacterium. RNAcentral's name for it is "partial 16S ribosomal RNA". It matches the Rfam family "Bacterial small subunit ribosomal RNA", at positions 29 to 253 of the family's 1533-position model. The record is from RNAcentral.